Molecule: ribosomal RNA, 501 nt
Filed under: uncultured bacterium
Lineage: Bacteria
Description: bacterial SSU rRNA
Rfam family: Bacterial small subunit ribosomal RNA
Source: RNAcentral
GACGAACGCUGGCGGCGUGGAUUAGGCAUGCAAGUCGAACGGUAUCAUCCUUUCGGGGGUGAGAGAGUGGCGAACUGGUGAGUAACACGUAGGUUAUCUACCCUCAAGACGGGGACAACCCAGGGAAACUUGGGCUAAUACCGGAUGUGAGCAACUUUUAGUUGUUUGAAAGGUGGCGUAAGCUGUCGCUUGGGGAUGAGCCUGCGUCCUAUUAGUUAGUUGGUGAGGUAACGGCUCACCUAGGCAAUGAUAGGUAGGCGGCCUUAACGGGUGGUCGCCCACACUGGGAUUGAGAUACGGCCCAGACUCCUACGGGAGGCAGCAGUCGAGAAUAGUCUACAAUGGUCGGAAGACUGAUAGUGCGACGCCGCGUGAACGAUGAAUCCCUUCGGGGUGUAAAGUUCUUUUAUAUGUGAGCAGUGCUUCUUAUAUUAACAGUAUGGGGAGAGAGAUAUUAGCAUAUGAAUAAGAACGGCUAAACUCCGUGCCAGCAGCCGCGGU